Molecule: long non-coding RNA, 343 nt
Filed under: Mytilus galloprovincialis (Mediterranean mussel)
Lineage: Eukaryota; Metazoa; Mollusca; Bivalvia; Mytilida; Mytilidae
Source: RNAcentral
GGGGGUAUCUUUUGAAAGUCUUCAUAUGAAGAAUGAAAAAAAGAACAGCUAGAACACGUAGAAAGGUUGACAAUACUGAAAUCAAUUGUUGUUUAAUGUCAUUUCGUUUCCUUAGUUUAGGAUUCAAUUUGGACCAAUGGAAGAGAUCUGCAUCUUCUAAAUCUAAACAUUCGAUUAAAGUUGAUAGUUAAUUAUGUAAAAUUCAACUGAAUUCUGUCAUUUAACAACAACUACAAUAUUUUCUGAAAUCUUAAUUGUGUACCACUGAACUGCAGGCUAGGCCAUUUUCCAGUUUGUUUGACAGUACUCUAAGAUUUUUAACUUUUCUUAAGAAAGUUAUGAC